AUUUAGCUAAUGAGUUCCAAAUAGGAUGAAACGCGCGUCCUGAAU
This 45-nucleotide non-coding RNA is filed under the name Schistosoma mattheei. The record is from RNAcentral. Lineage: Eukaryota; Metazoa; Platyhelminthes; Trematoda; Strigeidida; Schistosomatidae.